RNAcentral lists this small nucleolar RNA (107 nucleotides) under Gossypium barbadense (sea-island cotton). RNAcentral describes it as "Plant small nucleolar RNA R71". It matches the Rfam family "Plant small nucleolar RNA R71". From Rfam's summary of the family: R71 is a member of the C/D box family of snoRNAs containing the C (UGAUGA) and D (CUGA) box motifs. RNAcentral also lists the same sequence under 1 other name. The record is from Rfam by way of RNAcentral. Lineage: Eukaryota; Viridiplantae; Streptophyta; Magnoliopsida; Malvales; Malvaceae.
AUUCCAUGAUGAGGGCAGUUCCAUAAUAAUUCUUUGUAUCUUUCCCAUGCCUCAUACACUGACUCAUGAUCCAUUUGGUAGAAGACAGUAUUCUCAUUCCUCAACUU